This 228-nucleotide long non-coding RNA is filed under the name Fukomys damarensis (Damara mole-rat). RNAcentral's name for it is "lncRNA (ENSFDAG00000026048.1)". The record is from RNAcentral. Lineage: Eukaryota; Metazoa; Chordata; Mammalia; Rodentia; Bathyergidae.
CAUCCAGCUUGGUGAAUUAUUAUACGGAUUCAUGAAAAUCAUACAUAUGGAUAUUGUGGCAUCAGUAGAAAAGUUCUAGGGAGACUGAGGCAGAAGGAAGCUUCCCAAGCUCCAGAACCGAUUGUGGGUGCCUCAUGGUGGAGGAGCUGACAGGAUGUGCGAUCUAUAGUUUAAAAGGGGGAACAAUUUGGUCAUGCAGUGUAUGUUCCCACAGAGAAGUUCAAGCUG